CGGUAAUACAUAGGUCACAAGCGUUAUCCGGAAUUAUUGGGCGUAAAGCGUUCGUAGGCGGUUUGUUAAGUCUGGAGUUAAAGACUGGGGCUCAACCCCAGCCCGCUCUGGAUACUGGCUGACUAGAGUUACAUAGAGGUAAGUGGAAUUCUUAGUGGAGCGGUGGAAUGCGUAGAUAUUAGGAAGAACACCAAUGGCGAAGGCAGCUUACUGGAUGUACACUGACGCUCAGGGACGAAAGCGUGGGGAGCAAACAGGAUUAGAUACCCUGGUAGUCCACGCCGUAAACGAUGAUCAUUAGCCGCUAGAAUAUUUAGUGGCGCAGCUAACGCAUUAAAUGAUCCGCCUGAGUAGUAUGCUCGCAAGAGUGAAACUUAAAGGAAUUGACGGGGACCCGCACAAGCGGUGGAGCAUGUGGUUUAAUUUGAAGAUACGCGUAGAACCUUACCCACUCUUGACAUCUUCCGCAAUACUAUGGAGACAUAGUGGAGGUUAACGGAAUGACAGAUGGUGCAUGGUUGUCGUCAGCUCGUGCCGUGAGGUGUUAGGUUAAGUCCUGCAACGAGCGCAACCCCUGUCUUUAGUUACUAACGGGUAAUGCCGAGGACUCUAAAGAGACUGACUGGGUAACCAGUAGGAAGGUGGGGACGACGUCAAAUCAUCAUGCCUCUUACGAGUGGGGCAACACACGUGCUACAAUGGACGGUACAAAGAGAAGCAAUAUGGUGACAUGGGGCAAACCUCAAAAAACCGUUCUCAGUUCGGAUUGAAGUCUGAAACUCGACUUCAUGAAGUUGGAAUCGCUAGUAAUCGUAGAUCAGCUACGCUACGGUGAAUACGUUCUCGGGUCUUGUACACACCGCCCGUC
This 868-nucleotide ribosomal RNA is filed under the name uncultured Mycoplasma sp. Its description in RNAcentral is "bacterial SSU rRNA". It matches the Rfam family "Bacterial small subunit ribosomal RNA", at positions 518 to 1398 of the family's 1533-position model. The record is from RNAcentral. Lineage: Bacteria; Bacillati; Mycoplasmatota; Mollicutes; Mycoplasmatales; Mycoplasmataceae.